GGGGGUGAAACGGUCUCGACUGGUUUGGUUCGGGUUAAGGGCUGCAGGUGGAGUGUCAAUCUCCUAAAAAAUGUCGCAAAUAUAACUGCCGAUAAUAAUGAAGCAGAAUUAGCUCUGGCUGCUUAGUUGCAGUCACGGAUUCCAAAGAGGCCCUGUUCCGAGCAGCUUUGGAUAUCCGACGCUAAAUCGGAACUUACCCUUUUAUAUGUCUGCCGUUAAAAGGGGAAAUAAAUUUGCAGGCUGUGAUAGUAAUGGGUAUGCUGCUAACGCCGUCUUACUAUCGAGAAAAUAAUGGGCAGCUAAACCUGUAGAAGCUUUUAAUUCACAAUCCAGGACGCGGGUUCAACUCCCGCCACCUCCAUUU
This 364-nucleotide transfer-messenger RNA is filed under the name Spirochaetia. RNAcentral describes it as "SZUA-6 sp003641675 Standard tmRNA". It matches the Rfam family "transfer-messenger RNA". Rfam says of the family: Bacterial tmRNA, also known as 10Sa RNA or SsrA, is named for its dual tRNA and mRNA-like properties. Its role is to liberate the mRNA from a stalled ribosome. The record is from RNAcentral. Lineage: Bacteria; Pseudomonadati; Spirochaetota. RNAcentral also lists the same sequence under 1 other name.